AUGCUGCCUCUGAAUAUGGAGGCUCCACAUAACCAUCAGGGAUGUAGAUCUCUCCUGCUCCUUCGCAACAGAUGUCUAAUCCACUUUUCAAGUCAUCUGAGGGGGUGACUGCCAUCCAGACCUGUGCCAAUGAUGUCCUUUCAGUCAUUAUGCAAUACUAAUAACAGCAGAGGGAAAGGCCUUCAAAAUGCCACAGGAGGGGAAUUACACCGUUCCAAAGGACGUUUACAGUUUUUUUAAAAAAUGUUGAAGACAGUAGUGCCUAGCAGCAAGCGAUCUCGACGGUGUGUGCUGAAGCUCUCAUCGCGCACGCCUCGGCACAUGACCGCAUUCGUGAGCGAGAGGGAGGCUUGGGAGAGUCCACCAGAAUGUAACCACCUCCUCCUGAGAUUCAUCAGGAGGGAACAUAAACCAAAAUGACUCCUGCAGAACCCAGAGGAAAAGGACUGUUUGCUGGAGAAAUAUGGCUGUGGGUAAAAUUACAUGUUCUCCAAGCCCCAAGGCUGAGAGAAAUAAAAAGCAUUUUAAAUGGA
Molecule: long non-coding RNA, 533 nt
Organism: Hemicordylus capensis (graceful crag lizard)
Lineage: Eukaryota; Metazoa; Chordata; Lepidosauria; Squamata; Cordylidae
Exons: 2
Source: RefSeq, a predicted model, not a curated record